This 672-nucleotide long non-coding RNA is filed under the name Marmota monax (woodchuck). The record is from RNAcentral. Lineage: Eukaryota; Metazoa; Chordata; Mammalia; Rodentia; Sciuridae.
GCCUUUCGUUAUUUUUUAUUCUGAGACAGGGUCUUGCUAACUUGUUUAGGGUCUCCCUAAAUUGCUGAGGCUGGCUUUGAACUCAAGAUCCUCUGCCUCAGUCUCUCCAGCCGUUGGGAUCACAGGUGUGUGCCACCGCACCCGACUUUCAUUUUUUAAAAAUCUUUUUCUUAUUGUUUAUGGGAGCUCCUGAUAGAUCAAGGGAUUCAGUCCUGCUGUAAUGAGUUGAGUUGUGGACAUUUUUUCAGGUGGUCAGUUGUCUUGUGACUUUACUUUUUGUUAGUUGGGGUCAGUUUUUGCCAUGCAGAUGUUUGUUUUUGAACUGUAGAUGAAUUCUUGGCUUCUAGGUCGAUAGUGUUUUUUGUUUUUUUGUAGUUGUAUAUGGGCCGCGUGCCUAUAUUGUGUUUGUCUAUGUUUUUAAUGUGGUGCUAAGGGUCGAAUGCAGCGCCUUACAUGUGCUAGGCAAGCACUCUGCCACUGAGCUACAGCCCCGGCCCAGUUAAUAGGUUCUAAAAUAUUCUCCGUUUCCUUCUGGUGCUUUAAAGUAUUAUUAUUAUUUUUAAUGUUGUUGUUGCUGUUACUAUUUUGUAUGGGGGAUUGAACCCAGGGAUGCUCUACCACUGAGCUCCAUCCCCAACCCUUUUUAUGGUGAGACGGGUUUCCCAGGCUGGC